CAAUUCCAUAAAAGUGAUUUGAGUCGUUUGAUUUGUGAAUUCGCUGUUUUAAUCAUUCGUUCAGCAAACACUUUGAGGCUCCUACCAGCUGGAAUGUAUCAGAGCCUGGCUAACAAGUAUAGUGGAUGUUGUGCUCCUUCUUCCCCAAGAUUGACGUAUUCGUUGCCACAGCUGCAAGAGUGAUGAUUUGUGGAGCAUGUAAUGCCUCUCGGUAUGGAGCUGUUUCUAAUUGUAAGGUGCUUGAAUACAAGAAUUCAAGAUGGGCAGAUUGACUGUUCACCAACUAGUCUGAAAGGUGGUCAGAGGCUGAGAAGUGAAACUAAGGGUAAGUGUUGUUAACAGAUGACCAGUUGCAGAUAGGGGACGCAAUUCAGCCCAUAACAAACCCCAAGAGGUUUAGUCAAUGAACUUAGAAUGUGGGAUAUGGAGAUAUUAUCACUUCUCAGUAUUUUAAGAUGGUAACUGUUCCUCAUAAGUAGGGCUAGAAAUAUAAUUCUGUUAGGUCAUUGCUUAAUUGAAUUCUAGUUUUUCUUUUCCUAUCCAGAGUGGGCGGUGAUUGGAAAAAUCUUACCAUCAACACCAGGAGGUGUUUGAAGAUGGUAGUGUUGGAAAUGUUUGGUCUCUUAAAGAGAAUGAUUAAGUGAUCUACAAUUAAAAGUAAAAGAUGUAUGGUAAUUUUAAAAGUAAAAGGCAGACAUUUGUUUUCUUUUAUCCCAAGUUUAUUAAUAGUUUUACUAUUUAGAAAUAUUUUUAUAUUUUAUGGAAUCUAGCUGCUAUUGAUUUUAAGAGGUUUCUAAGAAAAUGCCGCCACUUAUAAUUGUAAAACACAAAUAAUUGUAAAAUGCUUCCUUUGUUUUUAAAGUUUGACACCUGAGCUAACAUCUGUUGCCAAUCUUCUUUUCUUCUUCUCCUUCUUCAUCUCGCCAAUAUACUCCAGGACAUAGUUGUAUACUCUAGUUGUAGAUCCUUCUGGUUCUGCUAUGUGGUACACUGCCUUAGGGUGGCUUGAUGAAUGGUGCUACGUCUGUACCCAGGAGCUGAACCGGCUACACCCUGGGCCGCCAAAAAGGAACACGUGAACUUAACCACUUGGCCACAGGCCGGCCCCUAUAAAAUGCUUCCUCAUAUCAAAGAUGAUAAACUGUGGAAAAAUGUGAAUUAUAAAGUAUUAUACGAGUUUCUAAGUCACCAGGCCUUGGAUAUGAACUUGCAUGUUUUAGGGGGCUGCAAGAGAAAGUGUUGCUUUUCUGUUUAUGUUUGAUGCAGCCCACUCUAUUAUCUUCCAGGAACAAUGCAAAAAGCACUCAUUCUUCCUUCUUUAGAAAGUAAAAAAUAUUACAUGGAAAUUCUCUUUUUUCACUAAAAAAUGCCUGUCUUCUCAAUUUUGAAUGAAAUUCUAGGUUCUGAGGAUAUAAUCUCAUGGUAAAUGAGGAAGAAAGCUAUUAUCACCUUACACAUGCCUCACAUAGACUAUGAUUUUCACAAAGCUACGCAAAAGUAUACACUGUCCUACUAAGAAGAAUGAAUGCUCAUGACAUCCAGGUCCUUGUGUUUUGAAUAGGGAAGCUGAGCCCAUCUCCACAUCUCAUAUAUGGCCCUGUACUAAGUGUAAGACAGACAGACAAUCCAGGCAUUCACAAAAUUUUAGCGACCCUUGAGAGGUGAACGUUGGCAUGAGUCAAAUUUUUCUAUUAAACCUAGAUUUUAAGAUAAUCUUGGGUAAAUGAGUUUAUAAUAAAAUUUAUACUUAAAGGUUCAUAGGGAUUGUUAUAAGAGACAGUUUUUAACUAAGGAAUGCUCCAGGAGGUCUGGAGGGUAGAUAAAUUUUGGAAAUUCACAGACUUUGAAUACUGUAUUAGUUUCUUAGGGCUGCCAUAACAAAGUAACACAGACUCGGCAGCUUACACAUCAUAAAUUUAUUUUCUCAUUAUUGUGAAGGCUGGAAGUCCGGGAUUAAGGUGCCCACAGUUGGUUUCUUCUGAGGGCCUCUCUCUUUGGCUUGUAGAUGCUCGUCUUCUCUCAAUGUGCUUUCACAUGGUCUUCCCUAUGUGCUCGUCUGUUUCCUAAUCCCCUCUUCUUAUAAGGACACCAACACCAUAUGACCUCAUUUUACCUUGACUCUUUCUUUUAUUGAAGUAUAAUUGAUAUAUAACAUUAUAUUAGUUUCAGCUUACAACAUAAUGAUUCAAUGUUUGUGCACACUGUGAAAUGAUCACCACAAUAAGUCUAGUUACCAUCCAUCACUGUAUAAAGUUACAGGAUUUUUUUCUUGUGAUGAGAACUUUUAAGAUUUACUGUCUUAGCAAGUCUGAAAUAUGAAAUACAGUUUUAUUAACUAUAGUUACCACACUGUACAUUACAUCUCCAUGACUUAUUUAUUUUAUAACCAGAAGUUUGUACCUCUUGACCUCUUCACCCAUUUUGCUCACCCCCCAGUGACUCUUCCCUCUGGGAAAUGAAACAAAACGAAACUUACAGAGAAGAGAUUGAUGGGUUAAUUGACUCUUUAAAGGCGCUAUCUCCAAAUACAGUCACAUUUUAGGUACUUGCGAUUAGAUUUCAAUAUACGAAUUUUGAGAGGGGCAUAAUACAGCCCAUAAGAAACCCCAAAGGCUUUAGUCCUAAAUGAAUUUAGAAUUACAGAGCUCACAGCAAUUACACAGCUAGUAAUUUCAUCACCAUGGUCCUGGCCCCUGAUACUGUGAGUUCAGCAAUUAUGACAUCGCCUCUUACGUUUGAUAUAAUGUCACAGCUUUUGAGCCAGGUAUUCUGAGCUUAGAGAUGGGGGGACCUGAAGUUGGGUUUAACACUCUGGAAGGCUAUUCUAGGAAUUCGCAGGUAUCUUCCAUAGUAAUCAAAUAGCAACACGUAGGGAUAUAGAAUAUAUUAUUCUACUCUGCCCUCUAGACUCUGGGGGCUAAAUUUACGACUGCACCAAGAGAAUUGGUAGUAGCAACGUGGACACAGAUGUAAAAUUAUAUCAAUUCAACGUAGCAUAAAUAUAUUGUUUGUUCCUUUCCACUAGAUGUUCAACUCAGAUGAAAGCAGUUGCCUAGUUGCUUGAUUUCAAAAGGACAGUUGCUCAAUAAAUUCAUAGAAAAGAAAGUGUGGAAGAUCUAAGUGAAUGAAUAACAAAAUAAAUAAUUUGGAGCUCUGAAAAUGUUUCCUUAGACGUACAUUUAAAAUUUCUCUUUCUGAAUUUGGAUGCCUAAACAGUGGUAAAAUACUUAAUUUUUUUUUUUAAAGACACUUAGUAAAGGAGGUAAUAUUCUUAGGAACCAGCAAAGUCCUGAUUGCCAUUAAUCAGCUUUAUAGCAGUCUACAAGAAUUAGAGGAAUACAUUAAAGCAUGAAUAUAUUAGUAGCAAUUCCACACUUUGCUAGAUUUCCUUUAAAACUCUGAACGGUAAUGUUGAUAUCAAAGAUCUUCCUUGAAUUGCAAAACUCUCUCUUUCUGAGUUAUUGUUUCUUGAUACAUUUAAGUCAGAACAGGUCUGCCAUAUUUAUCCUAUUUCAUCAGUUUUUUUUAAAUACCCCAGAAAAGUAUAAGAAUUCCUAGAAAAUAGAGCUGUCAUCCUUCAUUUUUGCUCGAAAUCUUAAUUUACCUUUCUGUUAGUAUCCCUGAUGAGAGACUGAUCUUGUGUUUACUAUUUUGUUAGCUUCUGACACUUCAGUGCUGCUGUCAAUGGGACAUUCAGAUGAGAUAGAAGUUGAAAGACUAAGCAGUAUUGGCCUUUUUUUUAAACAUAACUGUAGUGUUGUUUCAUCAUCAGGCUUUCCCACUUUAGAAGCUUUCUUUAUUCAUAGCUUAAAAUUAUAUAAUUACUCUGUUUCCCUGAAGAAAAGAAAUAAGAUAAAAUAGAGGCUUUGGGGAGAUUUAAUUAAAAGGAAAUUUUAAGGAGCUCAGCUCGGUAGGAUGUAACAUCCCAAAGACAAUUGGGUUUUAAAUAUAAAAUCAUGAUCCCAGCUAUGAUCAGAGAAUGUUAUAACUAGAAGAGAUUGAUGAAGCAAUUUGCUACAUACCAUGAAAAAACUGAAGUCUAGAGAAAUUAAUAGCUUAUCCAAUUACACCACAAGUUAGUCUCAGAACCUGAGUUAAAUGCAAGUUUUCUGAAUCCUAAUAGAAGGGGGAGAAAACAGGAUCCCAAACAUGGUUUAAAUCAAACCUCAAUUACUCAGAAUAUAACGUUGUCUAUGCCCCCAUGACUGUGGGACCAGUUCUAUAGCACAUCUGUAAUACAAUAAUAGCAUCACAGCUGAAUCAGCAUUGUGGGCCUGGCACACUAUUACUAAGUUGUAGAUAAUUCCAGUUGUAAGUGGUUUGAAUACAAAAAUAUUUUAUUUCGUUUAAAAAUAUCAGGAUAUUAUCUAGAGGGUGUGAAUAUGUGUUUUGAUGUAAUCCAGAUAAAAAGAUAUGUGAAAUAUUAAAUUACAAAGCUCUUAACUACUCCUAUUUCAGAGUGUUGUUUAAAAAAUUCAUUUGUAGGGGCCGGCCGGUGGAGCAGCAGUUAAGUUUGCACGUUCGGCUUCUCGGCGGCUUGGGGUUCGGAUCCCUGGUGCAGACAUGGCACCGCUUGCCAAAAGCCAUCCUGUGGUAGGUGUCCCACGUAUAAAGCAGAGGAAGAUGGGCAUGGAUGUUAGCUCAAGGCCAGUCUUCCUCAGCAAAAGGAGGAGGAUUGGCAGUAGUUAGCUCAGGGCUAAUCCUCCUAAAAAAAAAACCAAAAAUUCGCUUGUAAAUAUAAUCUCUCAAAAGGUACAAGGACUGCUUUCCCCAUUUAUUUUUGAUCUGUCUUUGCUGUAUAGUUUACAUGUAAUAAAGUGAAUUGACAAUUGCUCCUAUGUGAAAUCAUGCAAGUAAACUCAAAAUCAGGAUGUAAAAACAUUGCUAAAAAUAUAUUCUCUGAUAUAUAUUAAUAGCUCAUUUAUCUUUUGCAACUGGAUCAAGAAGGUAUUUGCUCUGCUCUAUAACUCUGGAAAUACCACCCCAUCCCUGCCAAAUAACCUGAAAAGGCAUUCCUAAGUAGUCCUUUCUGACAGAACAAACAGACAUAUAGUUGUUUCCUACGUGUUUAGUGAAUGGAAGAUAAAGAACAAAUGAAUAUGUGAAAAGAGUGUGAAUAAAUAAACAAGGAUAAAUAAAGGCUAUAGGAGAGUGAAGAUUAUUAGUUUAGAGGAUGUCAUAUAUAGAGAGCUAUCUUUUUAUCAACUAUGAAUCACUUAAAAGGUAGACCUUUGAUAGAGAUGAAACAACGGCCUGUAUUAAUAAUAAAGCUCAUACUUAUAUUAGGAAUUGCACCUUAAGAGUGUGGUCAUAGUAUGUCUCUUGAUUCUAAACCCAAGAUUUUUGCAGAAUAAAGAACCAGACACAGGUUACAAUAGAAAACCCCAGGCCUCACCAUUUUGGGAUACUUACGUAAAACUGACAGUAUAAGGCAACAGAGCUGAUCAGAUGAGAACUGCUGGCUCUGGCUGAGAAGCUAGGCUUCAAAAAGAAGGGAAGGGGAAGGAGGAUGUGCACAGGCUAAUUUCUGCUCCCAAAGACGCUAUCGGAAUUCACCAGAAAGGAUGAAGUGAGUGAGCACAGGGACAGGACAGAAUUAUAACUGAUUGAGGUCUCUUGACACAGAAACAAGAGGCAGAGUGUGAUUUCCUUCUGAGAGAGAGAGACUAGUUGCAAGAAAAGGGCCUGUAAUAAGUCUGAGUUAAAAACAGCCUGGGUUCCUACAGGAUCUAACUCAGAAACUUGUUGAUUCAUUUAAAGACCAACUUAUAACAGGAUUUCAUCACCAUCUCUGAUGUUACUCUCCUAAUAUUUUUUGUAUUUUAGUAGAGAAUUAGUAUGGACUGAAGACACUUCAAGUUUUGAAGGAGUUCAAUUCUAAAGAGGAGAUGAUUACAGUCUUGGAAAUAGUACUCAGCUCCCAUCAAAAAAAUGAAAAAUUUAAAAACUGAAAAAAUAGAGACAAAAAAUAUGUAUUAGAAAAUAAAUUCAUUUAUAUUUCCAAACUUCUAGUCAUAUCACUAAUUAAGUAUUAUUUUGUGUAUUUCCAGUUUUUUUCUCUAAGAAUACACAGCUUGUAUCCAUCAAAAUGUUACACAUACAUUCAAAAUCUUAUACAUAUAUAUAACUAUAUGCACAUAUAAGUAUAUAGAUAAUUAUAUAUAACUACAACUAUAUAUAGAUAUGUAUGCAGACAUGUUUUAUUAUCUUGACAAUGACCUAGGCCUAUAUUCUAUUCUUACUUGGUAUGUCUUGGAACCCUAAGAAGGUAAAAGCCAUAAUCAUCAGGAAAUAUUAUUUAUUUAUUUAUUUUUGGCAAGGAAGAUUGACCCUGAGCUAACAUCUGUUGCCAAUCCUCUUUUUGUUUGAGGAAGAUUGUCUCUGAGCUAACAUCUGUGCCAACCUUCCUCCAUUUUGUAUGUGGGAUGUUGCCACAGUGUGGUUCGACGAGCAGUGUGUAGGUCCGUGCCCAUGAAACCUGGGCUACUGAAACAGAGUGCAGAAACUUAACCACUACGCCACUAGGCUGGCUGCAGGUAACAUUUAUUUUUAAUUCGACAUUGCAGAAGUCUGUAAUACACAAUGACGAGGAUAAGAAAAAAUAUAAAUGACAAUUGUUGCUCUGAAAGAGUUUAUAAUUUAAAGGGAGAGAUCAAAAGUAUAUCUGAAAACAAAAAUAGGAUGUAGUUAAUGUCAAAUGAGAGACAAAAAAAAGCAUAAAGAAUUUAGAAGGAAAUAACAUGUCCUAUGGUCCAGGAUGGUCUCGUAAGGCUUCACAGAAGAGGCAGAGUUUAAGCUCAGUCCUGAAGGAUUAUUAUGAUUAAAGUAAGUGAAGAGGAUAGUAGAGAGAAUCCAAAUAAGACAGACUGAUAUAAGUACAGACUAAUUUUCUCUUUGGGGUAAACAUUUAGUAGACCUGGUUGAUUAGAAGAGAGAAAGAGAGAGAAGGUAACGAAGAAUAACAUAUAAUAUGUUAUAGCCAUCCAUCUAUCCAUACAUCUACCUACCAACCAUAGAGAUGGAGAAUGAGGUGAGAGGCAGAGCUUGGAUUUGAACUACAGUUGCUGUUGCAUUCAAAGUUAUGCUUUUUAAAAGAAUUAUAAGAAGUUUGCAAUAUGUGUUUGCAUGAGGUGAGUUGGAGAUGUAAAGAUACAUUCAGUUUCUUUAUAACUCUUUCCAAAAGACUAACGAUGGAUUUAAUAGGUGUAGGUCAAGGAAGCAAUUCUGAAGAAAGACAGAAGAGAGAGAUGUGAGCCCUCAUGUAUGUUGACAUAUGUAUGUGUGUUUGUGUAUGUGUACAAAAGAGGAAAAGGUCAUUCGGCCAUUAAGUUAAUAGCAUCCAUCUCAAAAGAAUGAAUGAAUUAUCCUCUUCAGCACUGUAUUUGCUCUAUGAUUUGCACAAGGUUUCUUCUGUUCCAUUAGUCCUUUGAAAUGAUGGUCACCAAGGAGAUCAAUAAGAUGGGAAGAAAGAGAGUAUAAAUGAAUGUGUGAACAAUCUUCACUAUAACACAAGCAGCUCCCAAGACACUUCAUGCUGGGAGCAGAUGGGGUAAGUUAGGCAGAAGCCGUACACGUGUUCAAAUUUUCAGAGUAUCAUUUGGUUUCAGAGAGUCCUUUACAAGGUCACAUAAGUACUCUGAGCCCAAGUAGGGACAUCCGUUAAACUGCGUAAAAACUGAGUAAAAAUGUAAUUAGGCUAUAUGUGUAAGUACCCAGCAUAUAGUAGUUAAAAGUUGAUUAAUUUUGGAAAAAAAGGUCUUAUCUUUGUAUAUAAAAAAACAAUGAUAUAUUUUUGUUUAGCUGAAUCUACAUGAUGAUUGAGAUAUGCAGAUGGAUAGAUUGUGGGAAGAAAAAAGAUGAGCGAGUACAGGUUUAUUCAUAUUCACAGAUUAAAAUAAGAACAAGAAAUGCACGUGUUUGAUUAUGAUUUAAACCAUUAAUGCAACUUAAGAGUGCAGAGAAUAGUACAUUAGCUCUCUGUUUUAGAUAUCUAGUUCUAUUUCUGCUCUGACGGGUUGAAAUCCUCCUAUUCCACUCCUACAAAAGCAAUCAUAAUACAUUAAAUUAAAUAUCACUUUAAAGGUGUUAUAUGGGAGGACAAAAUGAAGUUGAAAAAUAUAUCAAAUCUCCCAACUCCUUACUAUGCCGCAAAUCAAAGGAGGAAAUAGAAUCUGCUCAGAUGAAAAAAGUAGAUCCUAGUGGUAACCUACAUACCCAGACUUCUUCAUUUUCCUUUGCCAUAUGUUAAAAAAUAAUUCGAAUCCUCACAUGUAUCUCCAGUUUAUGUUUUGUGUAAAUCAGUUUUAGUGAUAUGUGGGAUGACCAGCCAUUGCGAUGUUAUCAAGUUAUAUGCAGUUUUGAGAUUGACAUCUGACUGUCACGGAAAAGAUAAGUAAUUUCAAAAUUGCUGAAUACAGUAUGAACAUGGUCAAAGACAGCAGAGAUGCAAUUCAUCUCAGCACUGGUGACUUCAUGAGGUGCAAUCCACAGCUAAACAAAUUCACAUUGAUCCAAAAGUGUUUUACCAGCACUCAGCAAUGCUGGCAAUCUAAUUCAGCUCAAAAUUCCAUUAAAAGUCGACUUGAUUGAUCAAAAUGUUUUUAAAGCCUAUUUUUUUCUUUGCUUUUUUUUAAUGGUUUAGCAGUUUGGGAUGUUCGAGGUUUUCCAAAAGAGUUAACUAAAUUAAUUUACACGUGAGUUAGUAUUCAUUGAUGAAAUAAUCAUAAAAAAAUGAAUAACAUAAUAUUUAAAAGCUCUGAAAUAAUAGUGUUACCCGCUAGAUUUUUUUUUAAAUAAGCAAUUAAUAUAAGAUGUAAUUAAAAUUAACACAAUGAAGGGUUGGUGAAUUUCAAACAAUAUACUGUAUUAGGGACUAUCUGCUCAGCUUAUAUUUGAUAGAAGAAACAGUACAGUAGUCUUUGGUUUUCUUGGGAAACUCACUAUUAUUUUUUUUAAGCCCUUCUUUGAUAUUUUAUUACAAGCAUAGCAAAAAUCAAAGUUCUUUCCUUUUCAGGUGAACAAUAUGGAACAGAGAUACAGCAGAGUGAGGCCUUAAGGCAUUCUUGGGAGAUUUUGUUUAUUAGUCCUGCACUGAUGUAUUAAACUUAAGACUAACUUGAGUGUGAGAAAAUAUUUUUGAGGUUUUCUCAAAAUUAAUUUUUCUCCUCUGGAUUCUUGAGAUAAUCUGAUGGUUUGAUUAAACAAGCUGAUGAGCUCAUACUUCCACUUAUAGUGUCUGAGAUUCAAAUUUCUAUCACAAAUUGGUGUGAAAUCACAAUUUUUUUUUGUUGUUUUUGUGUGUCUGGUUUUGUUUUUAAGGUGUCCCCACCCCCUUGCUCAUGUUUUUGGUCGUUUUUAGUUCCUCUUUGGUUUGGAAGAUUUUGCUUCUCUUUUUUCUUAAGGGAAAAUAUUUACAAUGGUUUGUGUGUCCAUACUCGAUCACAGAGAACAGGCAGUUUUGAGAAACCAUGCUAUUCUUACUUUUAGCUUUCUUAAUGUCAACUUGAUUCUAGUUUCCAUCGGAAUUCCAUUUUGGAAAGAACAAGAAAAACCCUGUGUUUUCUUUUGUUUUAAUUAAAAUAUAUUUGACAUGAAACAUUGUGUUAACUUAAGGUGUAAAACAUGUUAUUUGAUACACUUAUGUACUGUAAUAUGAUUACCAUUGUAGUGACAACUAGCACGUCUAUCCCAUUAUGUAAUUAUCCUUUCCUUUUAGUGGUUGUAAUAGUUAAGUUCUAGUCUUUUAGCAAGUUUGAUGAUUACAAUAUAAUAUUGUUGUCUCUAUUCACUAUGCUGUGCAUUAGAUCUCUAAGACAUAUUUACUACUCAUUGCAAAUUGUACCCUUAAACAUCCUCUGCCCCAUCCGCUCACCACCUCCCCGCCCUGAUAACGACCAUUUUACUCUCUGUUUUUACAUGCUUGGCUUUUUGAGAUUCCACAUGUAAAUGAUACCAUGCACUCCUUGUCUUUCUCUGUCUGGCUUAUCUCAAGACUGUUUUCUGAAGAUCAAUGCUUUGAGAAAGAUUUUAAAUGCUUUCACAUCAGAGGGGGAAAUACCAAAAGGAUUUUCUCGUUAUCUAGUAUAAAUUAAUGAGAAAUUCAAUAAAUUUCUUUCCCCUUGAAGACUCCCUUCACUCCUGCUCCUGAAAAAUCACUUUUUUUUCCUCUGUAAGAAGCAUUUUUUUUUUUCCCCAGAGCCUUUCUGAUAUGGGAGAUUAAUAUUUCAUUAUAUAAUUAUAAACACCUGCCUGGGCAGAUGCUUUUCUGUCCCUUGUUAACAUGACUCUUGGGUUAGCCUCUCUGGAAAAGCAGCUUUUAACAAGGAAAUGGCACACGAUGAUGGGAUGUAAAUGCACAAACACCACUCAAAUUAAAGUUCUUGUCAGAAAUAUUUAGAGAGAAAAUGCAUUUCUCUCUCUACUUUAUGCAGUCCCUUUAUUAUCCCAAGUGCUUUUAUGUGUAAGGCUUCAGGAGUCUUUGUCUUUGGUUUACUGCUAUUCUGUCAGGGGAAGAAGUAAUUACAGUCCACUUCAUCUACAAUGGGGAAGUGCAAAUACAUUUCCAAGUGUGUGUCAAAAUCAAAAGCAAGCCCAGAUUUUUGUGGUGUUAAUGGCGUGGUGGUUAAAACUUCAAACACACCUGGGUUAAAUUCCUAAUAGUCCACGUAAUUGCUUUGUGAUCAUGAGCAAGACAGUUAACUGUAAUUUUCCUGUUCCUCAUUUAAAAAUGGAGAUGAUAAUAAUGUACUUGUCCUAGGAUCGUGGUGAGGAUUAAAGAAGAUAUGGCACAGCACAAGUACUAGCUGUUAUUAUCUAUUAUUGUUUUUAAUUCAGGUCUAUACUUUCAUAAUAGAAUAAACUAAUUACUGUUUCUACGUUCACGCUUCUUAAUACAUUCUCAGAUUCCUGCCAGUAGCCCCUGGAUGUGAGAUGCCUAUAUUUUUCCCCUUAAAUCUUUUUUUAUUUCUUACUCCCUUCCACACCCUGUUCUUCAAAGCUGCCUUAGAUUUUGCUUCUCAUUUUGAACUGGCAUUUCUUUUAUCCGUGGGGCCUGCUCUGAAGGACUACUCUUGUUUCUCCUCCCCUAAUGAGAGGUCCCUGGAAUAUCAAGAACAAUGGCCGCCAGGACUCCUUGCAGCUGCCUUCCACCUGUCUGACUGAACACAUUGAGAUCACCAUGCUGGUGACGGUGGCAGAGAUUCUUAUGCUCCCUGGUGAUCUGGUGUUAGUUGAUCACUGUGGGCAAGGAGACCACCUGAGCUCUUUCUUUUCACUUAACAAAAUUAAAAUGACAUGAAUUUCAUUCACAUGGAAAUAAUUUUUAUAUGUGUGAACAGCCACUCACUCAGAGGCCCCAACAUUGUUUUAAUAUGAUUCUUUUCCCCCAACUAUUGUUCCUUGAGCCUUUUUGUGGUAAUUUGCCAGUUCAGAAUAAAAUGGUGGAUCUAUUGAUGAACAAGUCAUGCUUUGUUUAAUAAUUUCAGAGCACACAUUAAGAGCUCAGGAAGAGUUUAUUCUUGUGGUUUGUCCCCAAGUACAACUGGUCAUGAAAUAAUAGCUCUGCUUUACUAGCUUGAUGACAUUCAUCAAGAAAUAGAGCCUAUACAAGCCUCAAUUUAAUAAUCCGUAAGUUACAAAUGAUAAUACUUAUUUGAUAGUAUCAUCUUAAGGAGAAAUGAAGAGAUUGCAUAUGGAAAAUCAUUAUACAUAGUAGGCAAUAUGCACUCUAUUUUCCAUUUUCCCUUUGAAAUGUAUUCCAACACCUUAUUCUGUUAUAAAGUAUAACACUCCUGCACUAUGACAGAGAAGGAUAAUACUCACCACGGAUGUAGAAAAAUCUCAAGAUUUAUAAUUAAAAUAAAAACAUAACGAGAGAGAGGAUUUUUUUCCUUUAUCUUGUUCGUCUCUUUUCUGAAACAUAACAUGGAGCAAUGAUAUUUGCUAUUCAGGGUUGUUAUGAGGCUGAGAAUAUAAAGUGCUUCAUAUAUCGGAAAGUAUCUUAUUAAAGUGUAAUUAUUGCCUGGAAAUUAUAGGAUUAUAUUGUAGUUACUUUUGACUACUAGUUACAAAAUAAAUAAAUAAAUAAGCUAAACGUUAAAGAUAAAGACUAGUUAUUUAAAGCAGUGGAAUGGAUCCCUAAAAUUCAGAUUGAAUUUCAGCACCCAGCUUUACAAAAAUACAAGCCACAGGAAGCAAUUUUGUACAUGUAAGUAGAGUGAACAACCAUAUGGCUUUGCGUGACUUCACUAUGAAUUCUAGGAUUCUAUUAUUCUCUUUUCUUUCUUCCUACUUCAGGUGCUGCUGACUGUUUUUUUAAUAUCUAAGUUUAUGCAUAAUGAAUUAAUCCAUAGGCUAUAUUAUGAGGUUAGCUUCAAAUCAAACACACAGUGAUAACUGCUUAUGGGCUGUACUCAAACACCACUGAAGGUAAGCAAAGCUCCAGACUCUUAGAUAAACACAAACAUUUGACUUUGAAUAACAUUUGAAAGAAGCCAUAGUCCUUUAGAUGGCCUACAAAGCCUCAUAGGAUCUUUCUCCUGCGCAUCUACCACCAUCACCACCUCUCUGACCUCAUCCCUUACUCCUCUGUCUGCCAUAAUCAUUCCACUCCAGCCACCCUGGCCUCUUUCCCCACACAUGUGAGUCGUGCCCUCUCCUUUGCUCUGCAUAUGCCCUCUGCCUUAGUGAUCUUCCUAAAAUACGCACAUGGCUAUCUCACUCACUGCCUUUGAGACUUGAUGCAAACUCUGCCAUCUGAGUGAGGCUCACCUUUGCUCCUUGUUUAAAUGGCAUGUCUUCAACUACCAAAAUUUAUGAUCUUUCUUCUCCAGCUGUUUUUCUUUUACCCACGACACUUGUCACCUGUCAGCAAGAACAUUUUUUUUUAUUUAUUGUCACUGUCUCCCAGUGAGAACGCAUGCUCUGUGAGAAACCUUUCCUUCGUUUUGUUUACUACUGUCUCCCAUGAACUGAGAAGAGUGCCUGGAAUGUUUUUACUGAAUGGAUUAGUGAAUAAAACAUGGAAAAUUAUUUCACUCAUAAGAGGAAGUUUUGGUUUCUUUGCUUUUUUGUCAUUGAUUCCAUAAUAUUUUUCUCCUCUGUCCUUUCCCUUUGUUUUGUUUUGUUUUGAGUUCAUGUGUUUUGGGUAUCCAUGAUUCUAGAUUUGGGAUAAAAAUAAUAAUACAUCUUCCUCUUUUAGGUAUUUCAUUACCUAUUAUUACUGCAGCCCUUUACCAUGAAAGAACAUCACCCACGUGUCUUAAGAGAAGUUUGAAAUCUGAAAUCUAUAAAGUUUCAGGACAUUUGUUAAGUCCAUAUUAAGAUACUUAUGGUAUCUUAAUACUCUAAUGUGAUGGUUAAUUUUAUGUUUCAACUUGACUGGGCUACCAGCUGCCCAGAUAUUUGGUCAAACAUUAUUCUGGUUGUUUCUGGGAGGGUGGUUUUGGAUGAGAUUAACAUUUAAAUCAGUGGACUGAGUAAAGCAGAUUGCUCUCUGAGGUGUGGAGGGGCCUCAUGCAAUCAGUUGAAGGCCUGAGUAGAACAAAAAGGCUGAUCUUCCUCCAAGGGAGAUUUUCUCCUGCUUGACUGCCUUUGAACUGGGACACCGGUUUUUUCCUGCUCUUGACCUCAAACUGAAACAUUGGCUCUUCCUGGUUUUCAAGCCUCCAGCCCUCACACUGGAACUAUCCCGUUGGCUCUCCUGGGUCUCCGGCUUGCCAAAUCACCCUGCAGAUCAUGGGCUCCGUCAGCCUCCAUAACCAUGUGAGCCAAUUCCCUGUAAUAAAUCUCUCUCUAUAUGUCUUCUCUCUGUUCUGUUUCUCUGGAGAGCCCUGACUAAUACACCUAAUAAUAUUCAAGAAACUGAUCAUGAAAGAGAAAAAGGAAAAGAAAAUAGCUUGCCUUAUAGCAUGUGAGAUUUAGGUUAGACUUAAGUGAAACCUUAAUUGACCCAGUUAGGAGUCUCUAGAUGAAUGAAGAGGGAUGAUUUUGAGACAAUAGCAGAACACAAAUUUAACAAAGUUUACCGCUCUCUGUGCAUUGAUUUAGGAAAUAGUUCAAAGUAGAGGGACCAAUCAUGUCACCUUGUGUGUAGUCACGUUCAGAAGAGCCCAUCUCACCACUUCCCCAUACAGACCAGCAUGGGAGCCACUGGAAAAGAAAGAGAAGGAACUGAAGGGUGCCAUUCCUCUGCUACAGAGGAGAAUGUGACCUAACUGAAGCCCUGCAAUCAGUUUGUAUUAGAGACGCAAUGUCUCACAGAUUCUGCACGAGAGUCAGGACUGCAAUUUGAUCUAAGAUAUUAAUAAAUCCUGUGGAGAAGAAUUCCAAAUAAUUUGUAUAGACACUUGCCGUCCAGGAAGUGGAGGCUAACUUCCCACUGCUUAGUGUGGGCUCACAUAGUGACUUCCUUCCUAAAGAGAGGAGUAGGGAAGACGCGACGAAGAGUAACGUUACAGCUGCGAAACUUGACAAACACUAUCUCAACCAGAUGAUCAAGGGCAACGUCAACAUUCAGACAUCCUGUUGAUAGUACGUAUCCUUGGUAGGAUGUGGUAAAAAUGGCACUUUACCUCUGUGGGUGUCUUCCCCCAAACUCACAACCACAGUGUGAUGACAAGAAAAAUGUCAGACAAGUUCCAAUCAAGGGACAUUCUGUAAAAUACCUCACCAGUACUCCUCCAAAGUGUCAAAGUCAUAAAACUCAAAGAAAAUCUGAGAAACGUUACAAUCAAAAGGAACCAAAGAGACAGGAUAACUAAAUGUACUAUGGUAUCCUGGUUGGGACCUGGAACAUAAAAAGGAUGUUGAUGAAUACAAGUUAAGUAGGGACUCUAGUUAAUAAUAAUGUAUUGGUAAUGGUUCAUUAGGAGUCACAAAUAUGUCAUAUUAAUAAGGGAAACUGGAUGUGGA
This 14910-nucleotide long non-coding RNA is filed under the name Equus caballus (horse). RNAcentral describes it as "lncRNA (ENSECAG00000050752.1)". The record is from RNAcentral. Lineage: Eukaryota; Metazoa; Chordata; Mammalia; Perissodactyla; Equidae.